AUGCCGUCCUUGGGUGGUUGUCGUGCGGGAGUGGGUGUCUACGCCGCUCAUUUGGCUGGGCGCGACGACAGAGGAGGAGGCGGCCUACCUCAAGCAGUGGAUGGGGCGCGUGCCGGAGGAGGAGUGAGAGGACGAGGAGGACCACAUGCAGCUGGGGGCGAGGAGGAGGAGCGCUGGCAGCGUUGUGUGCGCGAGGAGAAGGAGGAGUGGCAGUAUGAGGAGGACGAGGAGGCGCGCACUAUGUCAGUCAGAGCCGUCGUAGCAGCAGACGCCAGAGCAGGCGACGUUGGUGUCCUACCAGCGGGCUUCCCUUGGGUGCGUUUGGUUCAGGGGAUGGGCUAA
Molecule: ribosomal RNA, 342 nt
Filed under: Triticum aestivum (bread wheat)
Lineage: Eukaryota; Viridiplantae; Streptophyta; Magnoliopsida; Poales; Poaceae
Description: partial small subunit ribosomal RNA
Source: RNAcentral